UAUUGGCUCUUGAUCUAUGUUUCUUGGAACAGGACGUCACAGAGCGGUGAGAAUCCCGUGCGAUGAGAUGCCCAAUUCCAUGGUAAAGUUCCUUCGACGAGUCGAGUUGUUUGGGAAUGCAGCUCUAAGUGGGUGGUAAAUUCCAUCUAAAAGCUAAAUAUUGGCGAGAGACCGAUAGCGAACAAGGUACUGUGAAGGAAAGAUGAAAAGGAACUUUUGAAAAAAGAGAGUGAACAACAAGUUACGUGAAAAUUUGUUUGAAAAGGGGAAAGGGGCUUUGGAGGUCCAGGAACUUGGGGUUUUAACCCAGGGGCCCAGGCCAUCCAGUUUUGGGAAUGGGCCAGGGGAUAAAUAAACUUAAAGGAAAAAGUGGGCCACUUGGCUUUCGGGUUGGGUUGUUGGUUUUAAUUAGGUUCCUUGGGGGUUUGGAAUUACUUGCCCUUGUUCUAGGAACUUGGAAGGGAACUUGGCGGUUCCUUUUUGGAACCUUAAGGGAAUUGGCUGGGCAUUUAAAUGGACCCCUUUUAAGGCCCGGCCCCGGUCUUGAAACACGGGGAACCC
RNAcentral lists this ribosomal RNA (561 nucleotides) under [Candida] sp. UFMG 02C1C. RNAcentral's name for it is "eukaryotic LSU rRNA". It matches the Rfam family "Eukaryotic large subunit ribosomal RNA", at positions 168 to 664 of the family's 3401-position model. The record is from RNAcentral. Lineage: Eukaryota; Fungi; Ascomycota; Saccharomycetes; Saccharomycetales.